Molecule: non-coding RNA, 273 nt
Organism: Nematolebias whitei (Rio pearlfish)
Lineage: Eukaryota; Metazoa; Chordata; Actinopteri; Cyprinodontiformes; Rivulidae
Source: RefSeq, a predicted model, not a curated record
UGGCUGCAGCCUCGUCUCAGCCCCGGUGAAGCCGAGCACCGUGGGCUCCCCGAGGCUGCACAGACUAACCUGAGGGUGAACAGGCGUGACUCCUGGAGGAGCAGGCGCUCGCGUGCGAUCAUCCUUGGACAAGGCCUCCUGCUUUCCACGGUAGUGACGGCCUGGAUCAGUGGCUCUCACUGUUCUUGAAGCAGGUAGAGGAAAGUCCAGCAGCCAGAUGUUGUUUGAAUCAGAGGGAGUUUCACCUGUCAGACCCUGUCAGCUGCCACAACA